RNAcentral lists this long non-coding RNA (221 nucleotides) under Lathyrus oleraceus (garden pea). RNAcentral's name for it is "Pisum sativum (pea) long non-coding RNA (PSAT_LNC025019)". The record is from RNAcentral. Lineage: Eukaryota; Viridiplantae; Streptophyta; Magnoliopsida; Fabales; Fabaceae.
UUUUAUUUAUUCAUAAAAAUACCAAAAAAUAUUUUUCACAUUUAUUAAUGUUUUAUUUAAUUUAUUCUAAUUUUUAUUUUCAUAUUUAUUUAUUGUUAAUAUUUUAUUUUAAUUAUUUAUUUCAAAUGGUUCAUUUUGACACACAUUUUUUUAUUAUUUUUAUUUACAUGACUUAGAAUUAUUUUUAACUUCUGAUUUUUGGGAUGAGGGUUGACCAAUGU